GACGAACGCUGGCGGCGUGCCUAAUACAUGCAAGUCGAGCGGACAGAUAAGGAGCUUGCUCCUUUGAAGUCAGCGGCGGACGGGUGAGUAACACGUGGGCAACCUGCCUAUAAGACUGGGAUAACUCCGGGAAACCGGGGCUAAUACCGGAUAGAUUCUUUCCUCUCAUGAGGAAAGAAGGAAAGAUGGUUUCGGCUAUCACUUAUAGAUGGGCCCGCGGCGCAUUAGCUAGUUGGUAAGGUAACGGCUUACCAAGGCGACGAUGCGUAGCCGACCUGAGAGGGUGAUCGGCCACGCUGGGACUGAGACACGGCCCAGACUCCUACGGGAGGCAGCAGUAGGGAAUCUUCCGCAAUGGACGAAAGUCUGACGGAGCAACGCCGCGUGAACGAAGAAGGCCUUCGGGUCGUAAAGUUCUGUUGUUAGGGAAGAACAAGUACGAUAGCAACUGAUCGUACCUUGACGGUACCUAACCAGAAAGCCACGGCUAACUACGUGCCAGCCGCCGCGGUAA
This 514-nucleotide ribosomal RNA is filed under the name uncultured bacterium. RNAcentral describes it as "partial 16S ribosomal RNA". It matches the Rfam family "Bacterial small subunit ribosomal RNA", at positions 28 to 523 of the family's 1533-position model. The record is from RNAcentral.